Molecule: small RNA, 29 nt
Filed under: Bombyx mori (domestic silkworm)
Lineage: Eukaryota; Metazoa; Arthropoda; Insecta; Lepidoptera; Bombycidae
Description: ovarian small RNA-28688
Source: RNAcentral
UCGCCGAAAGGCGAGUCCUCUGGUUUGGU